RNAcentral lists this microRNA precursor (118 nucleotides) under Hordeum vulgare. Its description in RNAcentral is "miR156b stem-loop (hvu-MIR156b)". Its record names the gene hvu-MIR156b. The record is from miRBase by way of RNAcentral. Lineage: Eukaryota; Viridiplantae; Streptophyta; Magnoliopsida; Poales; Poaceae.
GCUGACAGAAGAGAGUGAGCACACAGCGGCAGGCUGCGUCUGAUAAAGAGGACGGAUGGAUGCGAAGAGAGAGAGAUAGACGCAGCUGCUGUUGCGUGCUCACCCUCUCUCUGUCAGC